RNAcentral lists this ribosomal RNA (409 nucleotides) under bacterium. RNAcentral describes it as "partial 16S ribosomal RNA". It matches the Rfam family "Bacterial small subunit ribosomal RNA", at positions 355 to 776 of the family's 1533-position model. The record is from RNAcentral. RNAcentral also lists the same sequence under 1 other name.
UGGGGAAUAUUGCACAAUGGGCGAAAGCCUGAUGCAGCGACGCCGCGUGAGGGAUGACGGCCUUCGGGUUGUAAACCUCUUUCAGCAGGGACGAAGCGCAAGUGACGGUACCUGCAGAAGAAGCACCGGCUAACUACGUGCCAGCAGCCGCGGUAAUACGUAGGGUGCAAGCGUUGUCCGGAAUUACUGGGCGUAAAGAGUUCGUAGGCGGUUUGUCGCGUCGUUUGUGAAAACCAGCAGCUCAACUGCUGGCUUGCAGGCGAUACGGGCAGACGUGAGUACUGCAGGGGAGACUGGAAUUCCUGGUGUAGCGGUGAAAUGCGCAGAUAUCAGGAGGAACACCGGUGGCGAAGGCGGGUCUCUGGGCAGUAACUGACGCUGAGGAACGAAAGCGUGGGUAGCGAACAGG